This 449-nucleotide ribosomal RNA is filed under the name uncultured bacterium. RNAcentral describes it as "partial 16S ribosomal RNA". It matches the Rfam family "Bacterial small subunit ribosomal RNA", at positions 354 to 796 of the family's 1533-position model. The record is from RNAcentral.
GUCGAGAAUCUUUCACAAUGGGGGCAACCCUGAUGGAGCGACGCCGCGUGGAGGAUAAGGUCUUCGGAUUGUAAACUCCUGUCAUGCGUGAACAAGGUUGCUUGGUUAAUACCUGGGCAAAUUGAUGGUAACGCAAGAGGAAGAGACGGCUAACUCUGUGCCAGCAGCCGCGGUAAUACAGAGGUCUCAAGCGUUGUUCGGAAUCACUGGGCGUAAAGGGUGCGUAGGUGGCGUGGUAAGUCAGAUGUGAAAGCACGGGGCUCAACCUCGGAACUGCAUCCGAUACUGCCAUGCUAGAGUACUGGAGAGGUGACUAGAAUUCUCGGUGUAGCAGUGAAAUGCGUAGAUAUCGAGAGGAAUACCAAAGGCGUAGGCAGGUCACUGGACAGUUACUGACACUGAGGCACGAAGGCCAGGGGAGCGAACGGGAUUAGAAACCCCUGUAGUCC